This 1303-nucleotide long non-coding RNA is filed under the name Daphnia pulex (common water flea). Its description in RNAcentral is "uncharacterized LOC124193818, transcript variant X1". Lineage: Eukaryota; Metazoa; Arthropoda; Branchiopoda; Diplostraca; Daphniidae. The record is from RNAcentral.
UGUUUGUAUACUUAUCCACUCCUGGGGACUUAACUGGAAAACUUUCCAAUAAUGUUCGCAAUCUGUGCCAUCUACGAAGAGUUGGUAUCGACCCAAGCCGUGUAAUAUGCAUGUCCUCUGACGUCGAAAUCGUUACAAAAAUGGAAGAUGGAGUAAAUACGGAUCGUAACAGGAAAGGAUAGCGGAUAUUUACAAAUACGGGUGUACCUACUGAAUUUCACCAUGUUCUCUGGUGACGAAAUGUUGAAGAAAGGGGAACUGUAUGUUUAAAAACCUUUCCAUCGCAUUCGCAGCCAACCAUUGAUGCGUGGAAGGAACGUAACAACUCUUCUAUAUCGUUGAAGAGACGGACGGCGAAACACGGCCAAAAAUAAUCCGUCCCCCUGGUCAUGCUGCUCCAGCUCCAGCUCCUGCAUCAAUUGGCACUGCACUGCCCCAGAUUUGGCGUGCAUCUUUUCCAGCAUUGAUUAGACCUCCGCCGGAAUUUGGGGGAGCCAGACCGAAAAAUAUCCGCCCCCCUGGUCCUACUGCUCCAGCUCCAGCUCCUGCAUUAAUUGGCGCUGCACUGCCCCAGAUUUUGCGUGCAUCUUCGCCAGCAUUGAUUAGACCUCCACCGGAAUUUGAGGGAGCCAAAUGCUAUCUUACCGGCAUGUGUGAAGAAGCAACAUCUUGCAUGUUCUGUGACGUGAACCAACGUAAAAGUCAAAUCCGGUCGACGAAGUAAGAAGAAAAAAGAAGAAGAAAGUAUUACUGUUGUAGUCUCAAGCGUGAGUUGUUCGGUAAGCUACCAAAUUGUUAUCUCCUAGAAUUUGGGAUCCUGCUGCUCUACAGUAUAUAACAGAUGCAACGCGGGACGGAAGAAUUCCGUCAAAAGUUCGUUAGCGUGUAUACGACGAAUAUCACGUAGUUCUGAAGCCUAAAUCAGUGCAAAAUAUCAAGCGGAAAGUCAUUGGUAAGUUCACAAUAUGUAUUUAUGCUGAUCAGCAAGUUCACUUACCUUUGUGAAUUCAAUACUUCCACGAGACGAAUGGAAGAACGCCGUGGAUAUACUAAACGUUGUCUGUGAACCGUGAUACACCUGGCAGUGUCGUUAAAGUUGUUCAUGACGAAAACAACGAAGUAGCUCAAAUUGUCAUCCUGAACGAAGAUACAGCGCGAGUUAUUCCAAAAUUCGGUGAUUUGGUAGAGAUCGAUGGGACUUACAAGGUGACCAAAACAGGCAUGCCAGUAAACACCAUUUUAGUCGAAGACGAUUUUGUCAUUGGCAAACCUAUAUGCUAAUACAUGUGUUUGCGAGAAGAAA